GAUGGCAGAUGAUCGCUGGUGAAUCGCAGGAUUCGCUGGAGGAAAGUCCGAACACCACACGGCAACAUGCCGUCCCGCGAAGGCGGGACGGGCGCCGUUUCCGAAAGGGAGCGGCGACGGAAAGUGUCACAGAAAAGACGAGGCAGGAAAAACCCCAUGCGGUGCAAGACAAAACAGAGGGAGGACAGCCGGUCCGUCGAUCCUCGGGUUCGUCGCAUCACGGUCCCGCCACUGCGGGAUCGGGCGGUUCCGCGAAGGCGGGAUUGAGAUAAAUGAUCAUCGCCCAGCUUCUUUGCUCGCAAAGAGCUGUGGGACAGAAUUCGGCUUACCGCCGUCAAAU
Molecule: RNase P RNA, 340 nt
Filed under: Verrucomicrobiota bacterium
Lineage: Bacteria; Pseudomonadati; Verrucomicrobiota
Description: Verrucomicrobia bacterium RNase P RNA component class A
Rfam family: Bacterial RNase P class A
About the family: Ribonuclease P (RNase P) is a ubiquitous endoribonuclease, found in archaea, bacteria and eukarya as well as chloroplasts and mitochondria. Its best characterised activity is the generation of mature 5'-ends of tRNAs by cleaving the 5'-leader elements of precursor-tRNAs. Cellular RNase Ps are ribonucleoproteins.
Source: RNAcentral